This 460-nucleotide ribosomal RNA is filed under the name uncultured bacterium. RNAcentral's name for it is "partial 16S ribosomal RNA". It matches the Rfam family "Bacterial small subunit ribosomal RNA", at positions 338 to 795 of the family's 1533-position model. The record is from RNAcentral.
CCUACGGGAGGCUGCAGUGAGGAAUAUUGGUCAAUGGACGAGAGUCUGAACCAGCCAAGUAGCGUGAAGGAUGACUGCCCUAUGGGUUGUAAACUUCUUUUAUAUGGGAAUAAAAUGUUACACGUGUGGGAUUUUGUAUGUACCAUAUGAAUAAGGAUCGGCUAACUCCGUGCCAGCAGCCGCGGUAAUACGGAGGAUCCGAGCGUUGUCCGGAUUUAUUGGGUUUAAAGGGAGCGUAGGUGGUUUGUUAAGUCAGUUGUGAAAGUUUGCGGCUCAACCGUAAAAUUGCAGUUGAAACUGGCAGUCUUGAGUACAGUAGAGGUGGGCGGAAUUCGUGGUGUAGCGGUGAAAUGCUUAGAUAUCACGAAGAACUCCGAUUGCGAAGGCAGUUCACUGGACUGCAACUGACACUGAGGCUCGAAAGUGUGGGUAUCAAACAGGAUUAGAUACCCGAGUAGUC